RNAcentral lists this ribosomal RNA (853 nucleotides) under uncultured Mycoplasma sp. RNAcentral describes it as "bacterial SSU rRNA". It matches the Rfam family "Bacterial small subunit ribosomal RNA", at positions 530 to 1395 of the family's 1533-position model. Lineage: Bacteria; Bacillati; Mycoplasmatota; Mollicutes; Mycoplasmatales; Mycoplasmataceae. The record is from RNAcentral.
GGUCACAAGCGUUAUCCGGAAUUAUUGGGCGUAAAGCGUUCGUAGGCGGUUUGUUAAGUCUGGAGUUAAAGACUGGGGCUCAACCCCAGCCCGCUCUGGAUACUGGCUGACUAGAGUUACAUAGAGGUAAGUGGAAUUCUUAGUGGAGCGGUGGAAUGCGUAGAUAUUAGGAAGAACACCAAUGGCGAAGGCAGCUUACUGGAUGUACACUGACGCUCAGGGACGAAAGCGUGGGGAGCAAACAGGAUUAGAUACCCUGGUAGUCCACGCCGUAAACGAUGAUCAUUAGCCGCUAGAAUAUUUAGUGGCGCAGCUAACGCAUUAAAUGAUCCGCCUGAGUAGUAUGCUCGCAAGAGUGAAACUUAAAGGAAUUGACGGGGACCCGCACAAGCGGUGGAGCAUGUGGUUUAAUUUGAAGAUACGCGUAGAACCUUACCCACUCUUGACAUCUUCCGCAAUACUAUGGAGACAUAGUGGAGGUUAACGGAAUGACAGAUGGUGCAUGGUUGUCGUCAGCUCGUGCCGUGAGGUGUUAGGUUAAGUCCUGCAACGAGCGCAACCCCUGUCUUUAGUUACUAACGGGUAAUGCCGAGGACUCUAAAGAGACUGACUGGGUAACCAGUAGGAAGGUGGGGACGACGUCAAAUCAUCAUGCCUCUUACGAGUGGGGCAACACACGUGCUACAAUGGACGGUACAAAGAGAAGCAAUAUGGUGACAUGGAGCAAACCUCAAAAAACCGUUCUCAGUUCGGAUUGAAGUCUGAAACUCGACUUCAUGAAGCUGGAAUCGCUAGUAAUCGUAGAUCAGCUACGCUACGGUGAAUACGUUCUCGGGUCUUGUACACACCGCCC